GUUAUAAAGAUGGUAGCACAUACACUAAAAUUGGAACAAUACAGAGAAGAUUAGCAUGGCCUCUUUUGCAAAUUUAAGAUAGUUAUUGUCAUGAUUGUU
Molecule: small nuclear RNA, 99 nt
Filed under: Tupaia belangeri chinensis (Chinese tree shrew)
Lineage: Eukaryota; Metazoa; Chordata; Mammalia; Scandentia; Tupaiidae
Source: RNAcentral